RNAcentral lists this ribosomal RNA (544 nucleotides) under uncultured bacterium. Its description in RNAcentral is "bacterial SSU rRNA". It matches the Rfam family "Bacterial small subunit ribosomal RNA", at positions 777 to 1319 of the family's 1533-position model. The record is from RNAcentral.
AAUAGAUACCCCGGUAGUCCACGCCGUAAACGAUGAGUGCUAAGUGUUAGGGGGUUUCCGCCCCUUAGUGCUGCAGCUAACGCAUUAAGCACUCCGCCUGGGGAGUACGGUCGCAAGACUGAAACUCAAAGGAAUUGACGGGGGCCCGCACAAGCGGUGGAGCAUGUGGUUUAAUUCGAAGCAACGCGAAGAACCUUACCAGGUCUUGACAUCCCGCUGACCGGUCUAGAGAUAGACUUUUCCCUUCGGGGACAGCGGUGACAGGUGGUGCAUGGUUGUCGUCAGCUCGUGUCGUGAGAUGUUGGGUUAAGUCCCGCAACGAGCGCAACCCUUGAUCUUAGUUGCCAGCAUUCAGUUGGGCACUCUAAGGUGACUGCCGGUGAUAAACCGGAGGAAGGUGGGGAUGACGUCAAAUCAUCAUGCCCCUUAUGACCUGGGCUACACACGUGCUACAAUGGACGGUACAGAGGGUCGCAACCCCGCGAGGGUGAGCUAAUCCCAUAAAAACCGUUCUCAGUUCGGAUUGUAGCUGCAACUCGCCUAA